UCUUAAUAAUAUACGCAGUUUUAAUGCGUGCUUUUUUUCAUUGCCAUUGGCCUUUUUUUCUUUUACAGCUAUAUCCCGAGGUUAACAUGAAAACAGGAAUGAAUUGCUCAUUAAUUCGUAGUAGACAGGAAUGCAUGUGGUUAAACAUUUAUAUUUGACUUUUUAUUAUUUCGUAUAUACAAUGCUUUUCAUGUACUUGCAUAUUUUUAGUUGUAAUGUACAUUUUAAUAUGUAAACCUUUUUCAAUUUUGAAUAAAUGAAAGUCUGUUGCUCAA
This is a non-coding RNA of Paramuricea clavata, 275 nucleotides long. NCBI's taxonomy places the organism in Eukaryota, Metazoa, Cnidaria, Anthozoa, Malacalcyonacea, Plexauridae. The record is from the annotation of a GenBank genome assembly.